CCUACGGGGGGCAGCAGUAGGGAAUCUUCCACAAUGGGCGAAAGCCUGAUGGAGCAACGCCGCGUGGGUGAAGAAGGUCUUCGGAUCGUAAAACCCUGUUGUUAGAGAAGAAAGUGCGUGAGAGUAACUGUUCACGUUUCGACGGUAUCUAACCAGAAAGCCACGGCUAACUACGUGCCAGCAGCCGCGGUAAUACGUAGGUGGCAAGCGUUAUCCGGAUUUAUUGGGCGUAAGGGGAACGCAGGCGGUCUUUUAAGUCUGAUGUGAAAGCCUUCGGCUUAACCGGGGUAGUGCAUUGGAAACUGGGAGACUGGAGUGCAGAAGAGGAGAGUGGAACUCCAUGUGUAGCGGUGAAAUGCGUAGAUAUAUGGAAGAACACCAGUGGCGAAAGCGGCUCUCUGGUCUGUAACUGACGCUGAGGUUCGAAAGCGUGGGUAGCAAACAGGAUUAGAUACCCGGGUAGUC
RNAcentral lists this ribosomal RNA (465 nucleotides) under uncultured bacterium. RNAcentral describes it as "partial 16S ribosomal RNA". It matches the Rfam family "Bacterial small subunit ribosomal RNA", at positions 338 to 795 of the family's 1533-position model. The record is from RNAcentral.